GUGCACCAGGCGCGAAUCCUUCGCAAUGCAGGAAACUGCGACGAGGGAACUCCAAGUGCCUACGCUCAGCGUAGGCUGUUCUCAAGCCUAGAAAGCUUGAGGAGUAAGGGCUGGGUAAGACGGGUGCCAUCUGUGGUAGCAGUCAAUAGAUUCGAUUUGUUACUGCAAGGCAUAAGCCGCCGCGGUAAUACCCGCAGCCCAAGUGGUGGCCGCUUUUAUUGGGCCUAAAGCGUCCGUAGCCGGCCCGGUAAAUGCCUGGGUAAAUCGUGGAGCCCAACUUCACGAAUUCCGGGUAGACUGCCGAGCUCGGGACCGGAAGAGGGAGAGGGUACUUCGAGGGGUAGGGUGAAAAUUUCCUUUCCAUUAACGCUUUGCGCGAAGCGGAAAGGGUUAU
RNAcentral lists this ribosomal RNA (394 nucleotides) under uncultured microorganism. Its description in RNAcentral is "bacterial SSU rRNA". It matches the Rfam family "Archaeal small subunit ribosomal RNA", at positions 330 to 678 of the family's 1478-position model. The record is from RNAcentral.